Long non-coding RNA from Drosophila ficusphila, 773 nucleotides. RefSeq lists it as uncharacterized. Lineage: Eukaryota; Metazoa; Arthropoda; Insecta; Diptera; Drosophilidae. The record is from RefSeq and is a predicted model, not a curated record. The transcript is spliced from 3 exons.
CCAGUGGUAUUUCUCGCGGCAUUUCCAUCGACGCGUUACGGCAUAUUUAGCACGUGUCGUCCCGGGCAUAUUAUUGCGACGCACCACGGUCACUCUGCUCAAAGUGAAACGGCCAAACGAAGAAGACGUAUCGUAUCGUAUCGUGUGUGCUCAGACUUGUGCUCUCAGAAUUUAUUUUUGGUCAUCAACAUUCACCUCUGUUUAGAGUACAACAGCAACAAAACAAGCGAAUAACAAGCAAAUACGUUCAACAAAAACUGUGUAAAAUCGUUUAUAAAACUAAAAUCAUAAAAGCAAGCACCACAAAGCAGCAGAGAGAGCAGCGAAAAGUUAACAGCGAAUUCAGCGGCUGAAGCAGAGCAGCGGAGCGCAAGUGCAAGCAAGACGGCAGCAGAGCUCCGCUGCAAGGCAACGGGAAAGAAAGGGACAGCGCAGCAACAGAGAGUGAACAAAAGAGAGAGAGAGUAGCAGCAGCUGAAUCGUCGGCGACAGCCGCAAAGCCACAAAAGCGAGUGUGCUCGUGAGAGGGGGACAGAACGAGCAACGCGACGUCAAACUGCAAAAAGCUUUGUGGCUCACUUUCAUUCCGCAAUGAAAAAUUGAGAGGGAGAGAGAGAGAGGAGAGAGUGACCACUUUACAGUAACGAGGGCUGAUAAUAACAUUUCAGCAGUGCCUAUAAAAAAACCAAUAAACAUUAACCAAAAAAUAGAGACUUGCUAAAAACCAAACAACAAUGUCUGCAUUUUUCAAUACUUUAGAGUGUGUUUCGUGG